Molecule: ribosomal RNA, 400 nt
Filed under: Marinobacter sp. JC452
Lineage: Bacteria; Pseudomonadati; Pseudomonadota; Gammaproteobacteria; Pseudomonadales; Marinobacteraceae
Description: bacterial SSU rRNA
Rfam family: Bacterial small subunit ribosomal RNA
Source: RNAcentral
UGCAGUCGAGCGGUAACAGGGGUAGCUUGCUACCCGCUGACGAGCGGCGGACGGGUGAGUAAUGCUUAGGAAUCUGCCCAGUAGUGGGGGAUAGCCCGGGGAAACCCGGAUUAAUACCGCAUACGUCCUACGGGAGAAAGCAGGGGAUCUUCGGACCUUGCGCUAUUGGAUGAGCCUAAGUCGGAUUAGCUAGUUGGUGGGGUAAAGGCCUACCAAGGCGACGAUCCGUAGCUGGUCUGAGAGGAUGAUCAGCCACAUCGGGACUGAGACACGGCCCGAACUCCUACGGGAGGCAGCAGUGGGGAAUAUUGGACAAUGGGGGCAACCCUGAUCCAGCCAUGCCGCGUGUGUGAAGAAGGCUUUCGGGUUGUAAAGCACUUUCAGUAGGGAGGAAAACCUU